GUGCAGUUGUGUAGAUUGCAGUGUGUGCUGGGAAGUUCUCCUCAGAGAGCUUUGGGUGCAGAAUUGCCUGCAGGGAAGGCUGUGCCAAAUCCUCCUGUGCUGGAGCCCCGCAGGCAUCCCAGGGUGGCUGUUGUCUUUAUUGACUUCCCCGAAAAGACCGCUCGGUUCGAGGCUUUGUUUCUCUGAGAUUUCUCUUCAUGCUUUCUGUUAAGGUCCUGGAGGAUGGAAGGUGGCAUGGGAAGAUGGAAAAUAUUCCAAGAGACUGUCCCGUUUACUAAGGGCAAUCCUGAAGAAGGCAGCACGGGGAUGGGGAUUGCUGUCUGUGCUCACAGAGGGAAAGUGUGCAGCCCUUCAGUUUGUCUCACGGAACGGCACGCAGUUGGGACUAGGAAUGAGAGGCAGAUGGAGAGCCUGUGCACAGGGUGCAUUUCAGCAAGGCAGCCGUCUCACACUGCCCGUCCAGCCGGGAGCGACAGAGGCCACGCAAACAGCUGGUGCUGCAGGUGCGGAAGGGGAGGGACGUGGAAAUGGCAGAGAAGACCAAGUGUUACUGAAGUACUGCCUGGCACUGACUGCAGCUCUCGUGGUUUCCAUGCUGGCAGCAAUGAUAGCGUGCUGUCUGCUUAUCCGGCGAUGGAGGCAGAGCAACCAGCGCCUGGCUGCAGCUGAUGGAGCCCAGCAUGAUGUCCACGGCCACAGCAUGCCCUCGGAUGGACGUCCUGCUUUCCUCAAGGGGCCUGGCAGAUGGAGAUGA
This 754-nucleotide long non-coding RNA is filed under the name Phasianus colchicus (ring-necked pheasant). RNAcentral describes it as "lncRNA (ENSPCLG00000013637.1)". Lineage: Eukaryota; Metazoa; Chordata; Aves; Galliformes; Phasianidae. The record is from RNAcentral.